Molecule: ribosomal RNA, 475 nt
Filed under: uncultured bacterium
Lineage: Bacteria
Description: bacterial SSU rRNA
Rfam family: Bacterial small subunit ribosomal RNA
Source: RNAcentral
GAUGAACGCUAGCGGAAGGCUUAAUACAUGCAAGUCGAGCGGUAGGUGGCUUCGGCCAUUGAGAGCGGCGCACGGGUGAGUAACGCGUACAUGACCUGCCUGUCAGAAGGGAUAGCCCUGGGAAACUGGGAUUAAUACCCUAUGGUAUUGAUAUUAUGAAUGAUAUCAAUUAAAGUUGAGGCGCUGACAGAUGGAUGUGCGUCUGAUUAGCUAGUUGGUAGGGUAACGGCCUACCAAGGCGACGAUCAGUAGGGGGCGUGAGAGCGUGGUCCCCCACACGGGUACUGAGACACGGACCCGACUCCUACGGGAGGCAGCAGUAAGGAAUAUUGGUCAAUGCCCGCAAGGGUGAACCAGCCAUUCCGCGUGGAGGAUGAAGGCCCUAUGGGUUGUAAACUUCUUUUAGAUGGGAAGAAAAUGCUAGAUGUAUCUGGUACUGACGGUACCAUCAGAAUAAGCACCGGCUAACUCCGUG